Molecule: transfer RNA, 73 nt
Filed under: Nocardia wallacei
Lineage: Bacteria; Bacillati; Actinomycetota; Actinomycetes; Mycobacteriales; Nocardiaceae
Description: tRNA-Pro
Source: RNAcentral
CGAUCAGGUCGGCGAGGGCGGCGGCGGCCUCGGAGGCGGUCGUGCGGCCGUGGUUCAACUCCGUGGCGAUCGC